UACGAAGGACCCAAGCGUUAUCCGGAUUUAUUGGGUUUAAAGGGUGCGUAGGCGGGUUGUUAAGUCAGUGGUGAAAGCUCCGAGCCUAACUCGGAAACUGCCAUUGAUACUGACGAUCUUGAGUACAUUUGAGGUGGGCGGAAUGUGUCAUGUAGCGGUGAAAUGCUUAGAUAUGACACAGAACACCGAUUGCGAAGGCAGCUCACGAAACUGUAACUGACGCUGAGGCACGAAAGCGUGGGGAGCAAACAGG
Molecule: ribosomal RNA, 253 nt
Filed under: uncultured bacterium
Lineage: Bacteria
Description: partial 16S ribosomal RNA
Rfam family: Bacterial small subunit ribosomal RNA
Source: RNAcentral